Molecule: long non-coding RNA, 2396 nt
Organism: Hemibagrus wyckioides
Lineage: Eukaryota; Metazoa; Chordata; Actinopteri; Siluriformes; Bagridae
Exons: 3
Source: RefSeq, a predicted model, not a curated record
CCUGAAGGUACGUAGGUAGGGUUUUGCCCAAAUUUGGAAUUGUUGGUGAGCUUUCCUGUACGAAGAUGAUUGGCUGACGACCGAUAGAAAACGAAUCGGCUUCAUUUUCUCUGUGAUACUUGUUAAGAGAAGGAAAUGGUUUCCACAUAUUUUUACCGGACUCUACAAAAAAUCUUCAUACAAUAUAUUAAUAAAGGUGCAUAUUUAGAUGCACAGCCUAAUAAUAGAUCAGAUCCACCAUGGCUUAAGAAGGACAUUAUAGAGAAAUAUACUGAUCAACUAGAAUCUACAAAUGGCCCAGUAGUUUAUAAAAAUGGAGAAGUUUUAGAAUAUAAAGCCAACAUGGAGCUACUGAUUCAACACAAAAUACCUUGUGUAAUAAUCACUAAGUUUGAUGCUUUGAAAUUUGUAAAUUUUAUUCCAAAUGGACUCGGCUGUUAUUAUGGUUACGGUUAUGUCUUGACUGCUUUACAUGUAGUUAAGCCUCCACGUUUCGGGAAGUCUAAAAUACUCAUUGCUUUCCCUACUGAAGACUUUAUACUGGUCUACAAGGCUGAUUUUAAUCAAUCUUGUAACACUGAUGCAGAUCGAGAUCUGGCUUUUGUUAAGUUACGGGGCAACACUCAUCCACUUGGUGAUGGUUUACAUAAUCAGAUUGCUAAUAUGAAUGUAAAUGACAAUAUUUACUUUCAUACCCGGGCCCUUAAUGGGAAUUUUCAGAAGCAGGAGGGUGAAGUAUAUAAAAAGAUGACGAAACCUGAUAUGUUUGCAAUAUCUGUAGCAGGUAAACCUGGAGACAGUGGCUCACCUAUUUUCAACUCGAAACAUGAACUGGUUGCCAUAUAUCGAGGUGGCUUUCAGAAUUCUGAAUUUGGCCACUGUUCUAAAAUUCCUCAAAACUUUACACCCUGGGUCCAAAGUCUUAGACUUAGUUCAUACUUCUUGCAUAAAUGGCAGUUGUUCCUAUGCUUUUUGAGUAAAAUUGGUGAUGAACCCCUGUAGCCACUUAUCUGAUCUCAAAUUUCUGGAAAAAAAAAAAAAAUUUAACCAAAAAAACCUGCUCCUGCUUUUUUCCCCUCUCAUGGCUUGUCUCCCUCUUUCUAUCUUAGGUCGCCUUGCCUGAGCAUUUUGUUUUUCUGAGUGUGUGACUAUGUGACUGUGUGUGUGUGUGUGUGUGUGUACGUAACAAACACGUGAGCCAAAGCGAACCACUGUACAGAAGCCUUCUAUACUUUUGAAAGUUUUGAAAAGUUGUUUAAAAGCUUGCGUCAAAGUGCAAACCCGCUGAGUUUCACCUGAUGACAGCUGCUGGCAUGAGCCGCCCUCUAAACUCUUCCUCUGUGUCUGAAAGACAUGGACUCCUGGUCUGGAUGAUGUGGAAGAUGAACCUGGAGAUGCUCAAGAGUGUCUGGCUCACGUGUCUCUCACACACACAUACACACACACACACAGAACACCAGAACACUCAGGCUUGGCUCACUAAUACAGAAAGAGUCAGAACACCUUGGUAGAUAAGUAGAUCACCGUUAUUAACUCUCUCUUAUUACUUAUAGGGCCAUUUUCAGGUUUGUGUAUCAGUUUCUCUAUUACAUGGCAAUUUCUCAAGUUCUCAAAUCAGUUGCUUAAACAUUUUCUUUAACCCUCCUGGAAAUCUGAUGCCGCAAAAUGUGUAGUUGUCCCCAUUAAAUUAGACAAAUUGGACAAAAAAUGACGUGAAAAAAAAUGUCAAACAUAUAUUUAGAGACAUUAAACAAAAAAACAAACAAAAAAGGUAUUUUAUAAGAAUUUUGAUUUUGCCUAAACAAAAACAGUAUACAAAAUUAAAAUCUCCCUUGCUAAAAUUAAACUACAUUACAAAAACAUAGUUUAUUUUUUUUUUAAAUAUAAUAUUAUUAUUAUUAUUAUUAUUAUUAUUAUUAUUAUUAUUAUGUUGAGGAAGGCAGGUCCAUGUAUGUAUGAUCAUCUGGAAACCAUUUCCUCCUCUAUUAUACCUGACGGCUACCCAGGGUGAGGUGCUCAAAUUUAAAUUUUCUAGAAAAAAAAUCCUCACCUUUACUUAACUGGAUAGAAGACACCUGGAUGCAGAAGAUUUCUCUCUACAAAAUGCUGCUGUAAUCGUCAUCACUGCAGUCGUCACUUCGGCACAUUUAGUCCAUUUAGUGCAUUACUCUUCUCCAUCUGUGGACUGUAAUGAUUCUAAUCGCAUCAUCUGGUGUCACCCAUAAGAGGAUGGGGUCCCUUUUGAGCCUGGUUCCUCUCAAGGUUUCUUCCUCAUGUCAUCUCAGGGAGUUGUUCCUUGCCACCGUCGCCUCAGGCUUGCUCAUAAGGGAUUUUAAUCUAUAUCCAGAAUCCUGUAACAGAAAAAGAACUGUACGAAUAAAUUUAAGCUGAAUUGA